Molecule: long non-coding RNA, 248 nt
Organism: Oncorhynchus keta (chum salmon)
Lineage: Eukaryota; Metazoa; Chordata; Actinopteri; Salmoniformes; Salmonidae
Exons: 3
Source: RefSeq, a predicted model, not a curated record
CUAACAGGUGUGUGUGUGUCCACACUAACAGGUGUGUGUGUGUCCACACUAACAGGUGUGUGUGUGUCCACACUAACAGGUGUGUGUGUGUCCACACUAACAGGUGUGUGUGUGUCCACACUAACAGGUGUGUGUGUGUCCACACUAACAGGUGUGUGUGUGUCCACACUAACAGGUGUGUGUGUGUCCAGACUAACAGGUGUGUGUGUGUCCACACUAACAGGUGUGUGUGUGUCCACACUAACAGG